Molecule: ribosomal RNA, 228 nt
Filed under: uncultured bacterium
Lineage: Bacteria
Description: partial 16S ribosomal RNA
Rfam family: Bacterial small subunit ribosomal RNA
Source: RNAcentral
GAUCAUGGCUCAGGAUGAACGCUAGCGACAGGCUUAACACAUGCAAGUCGAGGGGCAGCACAGGUAGCAAUACCGGGUGGCGACCGGCGCACGGGUGAGUAACGCGUAUGCAACUUGCCUAUCAGAGGGGGGAUAACCCGGCGAAAGUCGGACUAAUACCGCAUGAAGCAGGGGCCCCGCAUUGGGGAUAUUUGCUAAAGAUUCAUCGCUGAUAGAUAGGCAUGCGUU